AUGAACGCUAGCGGCAGGCCUCACACAUGCAAGUCGAGGGAGAGGUUACCUUCGGGUAACCAAAACCGGCGCACGGGUGCGUAACGCGUAUACAAUCUGCCUUUCACAUAGGGAUAGCCCGAAGAAAUUUGGAUUAAUACCUAAUGGUAUAUAAGAGCGGCAUCGUUUUUAUAUUAAAGCUACGGUGGUGAAAGAUGAGUAUGCGUUCUAUUAGCUAGUUGGAGAGGUAACGGCUCCCCAAGGCGACGAUAGAUAGGGGUUCUGAGAGGGAUGUCCCCCACACUGGUACUGAGAUACGGACCAGACUCCUACGGGAGGCAGCAGUGAGGAAUAUUGGACAAUGGUCGGAAGACUGAUCCAGCCAUGCCGCGUGCAGGAUGAAGGUCCUAUGGAUUGUAAACUGCUUUUGUAAGGGAAGAAUAAGGAGUACGUGUACUUUGAUGACGGUACCUUACGAAUAAGCAACGGCUAACUCCGUG
RNAcentral lists this ribosomal RNA (479 nucleotides) under uncultured bacterium. Its description in RNAcentral is "partial 16S ribosomal RNA". It matches the Rfam family "Bacterial small subunit ribosomal RNA", at positions 29 to 507 of the family's 1533-position model. The record is from RNAcentral.